Pungitius pungitius (ninespine stickleback) is the source of this 1141-nucleotide long non-coding RNA. RefSeq lists it as uncharacterized. The record is from RefSeq and is a predicted model, not a curated record. NCBI's taxonomy places the organism in Eukaryota, Metazoa, Chordata, Actinopteri, Perciformes, Gasterosteidae. The transcript is spliced from 4 exons.
UCGUAGAAGCUGAAAGAGCGGAGACAGAAAGAAGGGAGAGCGACGGGGAGGGAGAAGAAGAGGAGGUGUCGAGAGAGAGAUGGAGGAACGCAGGGAGGCAAGGAGGCGGAGAGAGGGUUGGGAGCCAAUUUAUAACUAUCGCCCUGACGGGAGAGACAGUCGGCCCAUGGCUGCCGGAAGGGGCGACGGUUUCCACGUCUCUUGCUGAGCCUGCAGAACGGAACUAAAUGCCAAAUCUGAUCAGCUCUGCGCACAAAGAAGUGUGGCCUGGCGCCACUGUUUCUAUGUUUCUUCCCCGCUCUUCUCAUUAGAUCAGCUCUAUCACCUGUCCACACAGCCUCAUGCUCAACACCGGCUGGACGGGAGAGCUUUCUGACUGUGUCUGGUGCCUCAGCCGAGCGCGUCGAUAGCGGCUUCCGGGGGCCACUCGCGAAAAGCCAAGAUGAAGAAACAAAGUGUGGUCGGAUGCCGCAUGAGUAAUCCAUCUCACGCAGAGACACUUGUCGAUGCCUCCGGGACCUGUGGGGUCGCUUUCAGGGAAGCGCACCGUGCAAUCAAAUGAGAGUGGACUAAAUUGAAUGAGGGCCAGCUCUUUCAGGAGGUGUGGAGAUUUCCUGGGAAUCGCUGCAGAACACACGUUGAGGUGUGCAUUCGAAUCCGUCAGACGGCAAUCACAAUGGAACGUGAUGCACACCAGAUGGGCAUCUGUUGCAGACAGGAGGCCUGUUAGCAUGGAGUCAUCCAGUUCAUUUGUAUUAAAGGCAUUAAUAAAAAACACAAAUGACUAGAACAUGGACUUCGUAUAGCUUUAUUUCUUCAGAGUGGAUGUGCUCUGGAUAAUAUUUCUAUAUGACAGUCAAGAGGGGCACCAGCUGACCUCAAUACAUAUCAUUAUGGUACCACAGUUUUCUGUCAACAGAGCCCGUGCGUGUGUGCGUGUGCGUGUGCUCGAGCGAGUCACACAACAAAUGGUCACUGUGGCAUCGUGCUGCAGACUCACUGAGUUGUCAUCACGAGCGCGUUGACAGACUUCAUGACUGAACAGAUCAACAAAGCAAUGCCAUCUGCAGAAACUAAACUUCACUAAGGUCGCUUUGACCGGGCUGAAGCUAUUGCAGUCUACAACUGUCCCAUACUCAGA